GGUAUAGGAAUCUACCUAGUAGUACGGAACGAAUUAGUUGGAAACGGCAACUAAUACCGUAUACGCCCUACGGGGGAAAGAGUUUAUUGCUAUUAGAUUGAGCCUAUAUUAGAUUAGCUAGUUGGUGGGGUAAUGGCCUACCAAGGCAGUGAUCUAUAGCUGAUCUGAGAGGAUGAUCAGCCACACUGGAACUGAGAUACGGCCCAG
Molecule: ribosomal RNA, 207 nt
Filed under: uncultured bacterium
Lineage: Bacteria
Description: partial 16S ribosomal RNA
Rfam family: Bacterial small subunit ribosomal RNA
Source: RNAcentral